Molecule: ribosomal RNA, 519 nt
Filed under: uncultured bacterium
Lineage: Bacteria
Description: partial 16S ribosomal RNA
Rfam family: Bacterial small subunit ribosomal RNA
Source: RNAcentral
AACAAACGCUGGCGGCGUGCCUAACACAUGCAAGUCGUACGAGAAAGGGUCCUUCGGGGCCUGAGUAAAGUGGCGCACGGGUGAGUAACGCGUGGAUAAUCUACCCUUCAGUUGGGAAUAACUCAUCGAAAGGUGGGCUAAUACCGAAUAACACUGUGAGACCUUGGUCGAUCAGUCAAAGAGAGCCUCUGCUUGCAUGCCCUCGCUGAAGGAUGAGUCCGCGUACCAUUAGAUAGUUGGUAGGGUAAUGGCCUACCAAGGCGACGAUGGUUAGCUGGUCUGAGAGGAUGAUCAGCCACACUGGAACUGAGACACGGUCCAGACUCCUACGGGAGGCAGCAGCGAGGAAUCUUGCGCAAUGGGGGCAACCCUGACGCAGCAACGCCGCGUGAGUGAGGAAGGUCUUCGGAUCGUAAAGCUCUGUCGGAUGGAAAGAACCGCGUGGGGGUAAAUAGCCCUCAUGUCUGACGGUACCAUCAGAGGAAGCACCGGCUAACUCCGUGCCAGCAGCCGCCGUAA